CUGAAGCUUCAAAGCGCGUAUGGAAUAAGCAGUGCAAUUUCUUACGAAGCUCUGUGCCGGUGUUCUGAAAUAUUUAGUGUCUCCGUGGCACUGGGCGGAGCUUACAUGAAUAUUCAUGAGUUUCCUGUUCGGAGUUAAAGCGUCACCAAAAAUUUUAGUGCUCUUCGGAUCACAGAAAAUGUUUUCGUAUAUCAGCACGUCUUAUCCAUUGACAUGAUAAAUAAAACCAUAGGGAGAAUUGGAGUCACUCUGAUCUUCAGGUACCACAGGACACGUGAUUGGAAUAAGAUGAUGGCUGGUUUGUGAGCUCCAGCAUGUGGCCUUGUGAGCACGCUGACACUGAAAAUUGAAAACAUGUCCUGACACUCUUAGCUGGGAAGACAUCACACAGAGACAGCUUUGAGAUUCUUACCAGCUUUCUCCGGAAUCUGACAACCAAUAAGCAGGGUUUUACUCUGCAGUGGUGUGUGAAAGAGAGACUGUUUCUGCCAUGAAGUCUCAGUCAAAUUGAAAUGACGCUGGCCUUUGAGAUGUCCAUCAUCUUUAAUAAUACCAAAUUACUGGCCCCUGCUGGAGCCUCCCAGCCACUUCUCACUACACUCAGACGACGGCAUGCCGAUGUUGAGGAUGUAACGGAGAGCGUGUACUUGGUGGGCAGUUGUCAGCUUCUCUUUACGGCUCUCAUACUAAACCCCAAAUUGAGCAUUCACUACACAGCUGUCAACAAAAGCCAAGAACAACUGUUUCAGCGGGACCUGGUUGUUGCAAAACAAGCAGUGGGCAUGAGAGAUUUGGGCAAGCUAGCAUACACACGUGCGUGUGAACAGUCCCAAAAGUUACAAACAUCUCGGUCAAAUCAAAGGUUAAUUUAUAUGUAAACUGAGACUUCUUGAAACUGGUUG
This is a long non-coding RNA of Cyprinus carpio carpio, 902 nucleotides long. The record is from Ensembl. Lineage: Eukaryota; Metazoa; Chordata; Actinopteri; Cypriniformes; Cyprinidae.